Molecule: ribosomal RNA, 303 nt
Filed under: uncultured bacterium
Lineage: Bacteria
Description: partial 16S ribosomal RNA
Rfam family: Bacterial small subunit ribosomal RNA
Source: RNAcentral
AGCAGCCGCCGCGGUAACACGGAGGGGGCUAGCGUUGUUCGGAAUUACUGGGCGUAAAGCGCACGUAGGCGGACUGGGAAGUCAGAGGUGAAAUCCCAGGGCUCAACCUUGGAACUGCCUUUGAAACUAUCAGUCUGGAGUUCGAGAGAGGUGAGUGGAAUUCCGAGUGUAGAGGUGAAAUUCGUAGAUAUUCGGAGGAACACCAGUGGCGAAGGCGGCUCACUGGCUCGAUACUGACGCUGAGGUGCGAAAGCGUGGGGAGCAAACAGGAUUAGAUACCCCGGUAGUCCCUGUCUCUUAUAC